RNAcentral lists this ribosomal RNA (253 nucleotides) under uncultured bacterium. RNAcentral describes it as "partial 16S ribosomal RNA". It matches the Rfam family "Bacterial small subunit ribosomal RNA", at positions 524 to 776 of the family's 1533-position model. The record is from RNAcentral.
UACGGAAGGGGCUAGAGUUGAUCGGAAUUACUGGGCGUAAAGAGAGCGUAGGCGGCUUACCAAGUUGGGGGUGAAAUCCCGGAGCUCAACUCCGGAACUGCCUUCAAAACUGGUAGGCUCGAGUCCGGAAGAGGGGCGUGGAAUUCCCAGUGUAGAGGUGAAAUUCGUAGAUAUUGGGAAGAACACCGGUGGCGAAGGCGGCGCCCUGGUCCGGUACUGACGCUGAGGCGAGAAAGCGUGGGGAGCAAACAGG